UACGGAGGGUGCAAGCGUUAUCCGGAUUCACUGGGUUUAAAGGGUGCGUAGGUGGGUUGAUAAGUCAGUGGUGAAAUCCCCGAGCUUAACUUGGGAACUGCCAUUGAUACUAUUGAUCUUGAAUACCGUGGAGGUCAGCGGAAUAUGUCAUGUAGCGGUGAAAUGCUUAGAUAUGACAUAGAACACCAAUUGCGAAGGCAGCAGGCUACGCGAAUAUUGACACUGAUGCACGAAAGCGUGGGGAUCAAACAGG
This 253-nucleotide ribosomal RNA is filed under the name uncultured bacterium. RNAcentral's name for it is "partial 16S ribosomal RNA". It matches the Rfam family "Bacterial small subunit ribosomal RNA", at positions 524 to 776 of the family's 1533-position model. The record is from RNAcentral.